AUUGAACGCUGGCGGAAUGCUUUACACAUGCAAGUCGAACGGUAGAGGGGGCAACCCCUCGAGAGUGGCGAACGGGUGAGUAAUAUAUCGGAACGUGCCCAGUCGUGGGGGAUAACGUAGCGAAAGUUACGCUAAUACCGCAUACGAUCUAUGGAUGAAAGCGGGGGAUCGCAAGACCUCGCGCGAUUGGAGCGGACGAUAUUAGAUUAGGUAGUUGGUGGGGUAAAGGCCCACCAAGCCAACGAUCUGUAGCUGGUCUGAGAGGACGACCAGCCACACUGGAACUGAGACACGGGCCAGACUCCUACGGGAGGCAGCAGUGGGGAAUUUUGGACAAUGGGCGAAAGCCUGAUCCAGCCAUUCCGCGUGCAGGAUGAAGGCCCUCGGGUUGUAAACUGCUUUUGUACAGAACGAAAAGGUUUCUACUAAUACUAGGAGCUCAUGACGGUACUGUAAGAAUAAGCACCGGCUAACUACGUGCCAGCCGCCGCGGUAA
RNAcentral lists this ribosomal RNA (496 nucleotides) under uncultured bacterium. RNAcentral describes it as "partial 16S ribosomal RNA". It matches the Rfam family "Bacterial small subunit ribosomal RNA", at positions 30 to 523 of the family's 1533-position model. The record is from RNAcentral.